GGACAGGGGAACAGAUACAUUCAUAACUUAAGGCAUCAGGCUAAAAUGCUAAAGGUUGGGUAAAGAAACUAGGAAUAGGGCCUGAGGAGGUUUUGAGUCAAUGAAAUAACAAAAUCCAUGAAAGGGAACAAAUUAGGUCAAGUAAGAGGAUAUAUGGUUUUUUUGUGAGGGAAUGAUUUAAAGUUCACUGACAGAAAUGAACACACUAAAGGUGCGGUGGGGCAGUCCCAGCAAAUCCUAUGGAGUUUCCCACUGAAGUGUCCGCUCUUGGGUUAGCCAGUGGGAGACCCGUUUUGUCGCCCCAGUCAGAAUUCCUCACUACCAACUUCAAGACUAGGUACCUUCAGCAGGUGCCUGCUAUGCAAAGUAAAAUAACUGACUUUUUGUGGGGUCUGCCUUCCUCCAAAGGACUCCCAUCCCUCCCCGAAAUGACAACGAAUUGGUUACCACAGGAACUCCCCCCUAUCAGUUCUCAGUUGGAACAUUGCGGGCUGGAGGGGAAAAAAACUUGACCCAGAAUUCUUGGAGUAUAUUAACCUGUUUCAUAUCAUCUUGUUCCAAGAAUCGUGGGAAGUAGAGAGAAUUGAUCUAAAUGGCUUUGAGCUUCUAGAACUCCCUGCCUGCCCCUCCCUGAAAGGAGGCCGCCCUAAAGGGGGCCUAAUAAUAGGCAUCUCCCUCAACUUACAUUCUAAAUUUACUCUAGUACAGGCCUUGCCUCCUUACGCUCUUACCGGGCUGAUUGCGGGGAAAAGAUCUCACUUCUAGUUACAAAUGUUUACUUGCCACCCGGGGUUCUUCCUCUGAACUGGGCUCUAAAUGGGGCUCGCUAGAAGAGCAUUUGCUCUCAUGCUAUGUCAAGUUUCCUAACACCCCGGCCAUAAUAGGUGGCGAUUUUAAUGCCCGCACAGCAGCAAAUUGGGACUCGCUGACCAAAGCCAAAUGGUGGGUUACCCCAAACCUUGAUAAUUAUGAUCUGGAACAUAUCAUGAGGAGAACUUCUAAAGACCAACAAGUUAAUGAGGCUGGAGUAUUCCUCUACCAAAUGGCCAUCCGUUUAAAUCUGGUCCCCCUAAAUGGCACAUGCCUCCCUGAUAUUCCAGGGGAUUUCACUCACCUGAGUGUUAAAUCAAACAGCGUCCUCGAUUACCUGCUGGUCUCCAGUGAUCUACUUAAGUGUAUUUCCACCUUUAAGAUCGAGAAUGUACAAUCUAGUGAUCAUCUUCCCCUUGUAGCCAAGCUUUCCCUGAAUUGGCAGUUGGAGACCUAUAGACAUGCGACCCAGAUGGUAACCAACGUAUCUCUUCAAGUAAGAGGAAUCAAAUGGUCGGAGACCCAGGCUCAAAGGUAUCAGGAAUUCUUUCAAAAAGAAAUCCUCGGGCCCCAUCCCUACAUAGGCUCUGCCUCAGAUGAGCAUAGCAUAGUGCUGAAACGCUUCCACCAUCAUACGACUGACCUUACGUCCUUCUUCAGGUUACCACCCAAAAUAUUAAAUCGAAACGAGUAUACUUACGGUGCCCCUGGUAUAACUCUCAGUGCAAACAAGCAAGACAGCGCCUUCGUGCUAUAUAUAAUGUAUAUAAGACCUCCGAUGCAUCUACUCUGCCAGCUAGUUAUGCACAAGCCAAGCAAGUUUAUAAACGCACGCAGAAAAUUGCCAAACGUGAGUGGCAACAUAAUCGCUGGCAGGCCUUGAUUACUGCUUCAAAAUCACAUAGAUCCAGGGAAUUCUGGUCUCUGAUUAACAGAAGGGUGAGGAAAUACCCAAGGGCAGUCAUCCCUGCACCGACAUGGGAAUUGUUCCUGAAGAAAUGUUUCUCACAGGCAGAUGCUCCCUCCGACCAUCUGAUGCAUCUGUUCUCCCACCUACCUAUUUGGCCUCCCACCGAUCCUGACGAAAUAGCCAAGCUAAUAGCCCAGCUGAAAUUGGGCAAAGCCCCAGGGCCCGACCUGAUCCCUGCUGAAGCCAUCAAACUACACCCAAAAUGGUGGGCUGGCAUCUUGGCCAAAACCUUCGACGCAAUCAACGCUUCUGGUAUCAUCCCCAAAAUAUGGAAGGAGGCCAUUAUAGUACCAAUUCACAAAAAGGUUCUCCAAUGGAGCCGGAAAAGUACCGUAACAUCAGCCUCCUUUCGAUCAUAGGGAAAAUUUAUGCCAGCUUUUGCUGACGAAACUAUCGCGAUGGGUAGAUGAGACUAACCAGAUUGGCCACGAACAAGCAGGGUUCAGAAUUAAACGCUCUACAACUGAUCAUGCGAUAGUUCUUUACCAUCUGGCACGGAAGUACUCCUCCCCCCCCGGGGCUAUCUGUGUGCUGCCUUCUUAGAUCUUAAGGCAGCCUUCGACAGCGUUCCUAGAAAUAUUCUUUGGGAGAAACUUGCGAAACAGGGCAUCGAUAGAAGGCUCUUAUGGCUUAUAAGUCAGCUCCACGAAGGUACCCUUGCCAGAGUGAGACUUACUCCUGCGGGCGACCUCACAAAUUCGAUACCAAUAAACAAGGGAGUGCGCCAAGGAUGUAUAUUGGCCCCCUGCCUAUUCAAUCUAUUCAUCAGCGACAUGCGAGCACCCCUAGUCAACUCAUCUCCAAGUACACAUGCGCCUAGACUAGCGGAUUACCGCUGUCCACUCCUUUUAUAUGCGGACGACGCGGUAAUUCUAUCUUAUACACGUGUUGGACUAACCAGAGCUCUGAAGAUCUUUGCCACGUAUUGUCAACUCAACCAAUUAACCAUCAAUCAUGCUAAAUCUAAGAUUCUGAUUUUCGCCAGAAGUCGGAGAUUAUACGAAUGGAAGCUUGGUGGAGCAAAAAUAGAGCAAGUCCUAAAAUUUCAAUACCUAGGAGUUAUUUUUCAAUACAAUUUGGGGUGGAAAGCACAUAUUCAACACCUACUUAAUAAGGCCAAAACUCUGUCAUAUGCGCUCCUCCGAUUUUUCUUUUCGGAUGGAGCUUUGCAUGUUCCCUCGGCCCUAAAGGUGUUCAAGGCAAAAGUGGUUCCCGUGCUUGCUUAUGCUGCCCCGCUCUGGGUCGUGAUGACAGACCUUGCUCCUCUUGAGACUUUGCAAAACCAAUUCCUACGUCGGCUCCUAAUGCUCCCCUGUGCGUAAGCAACGCAGCCAUGCGUUUAGAAUUGAGGAUCGCAUCCUUAGAAACCUGCCUGUGGAAGCAAGUCUUCAAUUAUUGGUUAUCAUUGUGGCAUAGAUUACCAGACCAUUACCUUGCCCAAUGCUUAUGGCGAGAUGAAUUCCCCAGCCUUUGGACCAGUAGAAUUCAUGCCAAACUCCUGAGCUAUGGAAUCUCUCCCUUAGAUUCCCUAAAACUAGAUCAAAUCACUGCUCAAAGACUGAUCCGCCAAAGACUGGAUGACAUCGAUUUACAGCAAAAUUAUAUGCUGGGGGGAGGUGUUUGUUCGCCCCAGAACAUUGGUAUCACUUUAACUUAUUGCGUUCCAUCAUACCUCUCCUCCCUUUCGACUGUUGCCCAUAGGCUGGCCUUCACCAAAGCGAGGUUUAAUGUUUUUCCCUCCAAUGUCCUGAGACAUAGAUUCUCAAAGGGCCAAACCUCCGCCAUGUGCGAAUGUGAUAAGGAGAUGCCGGAGUCGCUUCAGCACAUUAUGUUCACUUGCCCCUUAUUUAAGGUGCCACGGGCAAACUUGUUGGGAUCAAUCAUACAGAAAUUAGAGGGUACUCCACCAAAAUUCCACCUUGCCCAAAUCUUGCAGGAUAAGGAUGCCCAUACGACCCUGAAAGUGGCUAGGUUCCUGGUCGCUGUCCUUACCCAAAAGCGUCGCCAAGGAGCACCACAAGCUAAUUAAGGCGUAGUAUGCCAUUCCAUCUUAUAGUAGCUUAUUGUUAUAGUAGUGUUUUAGCGGCUGUUUUUUUCCCAUGUGCACAGGCUGUUAUUUAUGUCUUGUUUUUAUCUGUAUGGGCCUACGGCCGUAAUAAAUUAUUAUUAUUAUUAUUAUUAACACACUAAAGGGGUUUUGCCCAUGAAACUUUAAUUUUAGUUCAGGAAAGACAGGGAAAAUACACUCAUUUCCCCAACCCACACACAAAUCCAUUAAUAUGUUAUUGGCAAGUGCUUGAUUCAUUAGAGAGAUCCAGAUCAUUUAUAUAAUUUGUGUGUGUGUGUGCUCAUGAAUGGGCUAAAAUGAAGAGGUAAAUGAUUUUUCUUAUCUCUCUAACAACAUUUUAGCUUCUCGGCCCAUCACAAAAUUUAACCAUCUAGAGCACUUUUGAGGGUCAUUGCACCAAGCCUUCAGAUUGCUCAGUCAGUAGACUCUUAAUCUUAGGGUGUCAUGAACUGGCAGGAAAAUGUUGAGAAGGAAGAGGUUCCUGGCGAUGGAUAUAGCCAGGCCUGGGUCACACUGGGGCAAGCUGAGGAUGGGGAAGGAGAGGUUGGUGUUGGAAGUCCUCACAGGUGACGGAGGAUUGUGAGGGGAUGGGGAUCAGUGAUGGGGAUCCAAAGCAGCAGGACCCAUCACCAGAGUUGGAGGGGGGCCCAUCUCCACAAAGACAGCAGGCUCAGAGGUGUAGGGAGCAGCGGACUGGGCACUCUAGGAGACUGAGGCAAACAAGGGCCCACUGCCCAGCUCCUUAGCUGGCCAGGUGGGGCUCGCUAGCUCUGAGAGGAAAUGUGUGAUUUCUCAG
Molecule: non-coding RNA, 4644 nt
Organism: Podarcis lilfordi (Lilford's wall lizard)
Lineage: Eukaryota; Metazoa; Chordata; Lepidosauria; Squamata; Lacertidae
Source: the annotation of a GenBank genome assembly